CCUACGGGAGGCAGCAGUGAGGAAUAUUGGUCAAUGGGCGGGAGUCUGAACCAGCCAAGCCGCGUGAGGGAAGACUGUACAGUGUAUUGUAAACCUCUUUUGUCAGGGAACAAAGGCGGGGACUAGUCCCCGGAUGAGGGUACCUGAAGAAUAAGCAUCGGCUAACUCCGUGCCAGCAGCCGCGGGAAUACGGAGGAUUCAAGCGUUAUCCGGAUUUAUUGGGGUUAAAGGGUGCGGAGGCGGGCCUGUAAGUCAGUGGUGAAAGGACGGGGCUUAACCGCGGGCGUGCAGUGGAAACUGGCGGUCUUGAGUUGGGGAGAGGUAGGCGGAAUGCGCGGUGUAGCGGUGAAAUGCUUAGAUAGCGCGCAGAACACCGAUUGCGAAGGCAGCUUACCGGCCUCACACUGACGCUGAGGCACGAAAGCGUGGGUAUCGAACAGGAUUAGAUACCCUAGUAGUC
Molecule: ribosomal RNA, 460 nt
Filed under: uncultured bacterium
Lineage: Bacteria
Description: partial 16S ribosomal RNA
Rfam family: Bacterial small subunit ribosomal RNA
Source: RNAcentral